This 160-nucleotide non-coding RNA is filed under the name bovine gut metagenome. Its description in RNAcentral is "Lysine riboswitch". It matches the Rfam family "Lysine riboswitch aptamer". From Rfam's summary of the family: Riboswitches are metabolite binding domains within certain messenger RNAs that serve as precision sensors for their corresponding targets. Allosteric rearrangement of mRNA structure is mediated by ligand binding, and this results in modulation of gene expression. The record is from RNAcentral.
UUAUGAUAGAGGCGCAGGUGCUAAGAGUAGCGUUUUUCGACGGCUUCGCAGGCUAUGGAGAGCGUGAAAGGCGUAUCUGCCGAAAGUGGAGCAGGCGAAAGCUUCUCUUGGGAGUGCGGAGAAUAUCCGUACUACUGUCGCUGAUGCGGAGAGCUAUCUU